UACGUAGGGGGCAAGCGUUGUCCGGAUUUAUUGGGCGUAAAGAGCGUGUAGGCGGCCAGGUAGGUCCGCUGUGAAAACUCGAGGCUCAACCUCGAGAUGUCGGCGGAAACCAUCUGGCUAGAGUCCGGAAGAGGAGAGCGGAAUUCCCGGUGUAGAGGUGAAAUUCGUAGAUAUCGGGAGGAACACCAGUGGCGAAGGCGGCUCUCUGGGCAGAUACUGACACUGAGACGCGAAAGCGUGGGUAGCAAACAGG
RNAcentral lists this ribosomal RNA (253 nucleotides) under uncultured bacterium. RNAcentral describes it as "partial 16S ribosomal RNA". It matches the Rfam family "Bacterial small subunit ribosomal RNA", at positions 524 to 776 of the family's 1533-position model. The record is from RNAcentral.